This is a non-coding RNA of Clathrus columnatus, 80 nucleotides long. The record is from the annotation of a GenBank genome assembly. Lineage: Eukaryota; Fungi; Basidiomycota; Agaricomycetes; Phallales; Clathraceae.
GCAUUAAUGGGGUAGUGGUAACCUCGGUCGUUGCCAAGCUUUGAUUCGACCGGCCGCGAGUUCGAUUCUCGCUUAAUGCA